Long non-coding RNA from Bos taurus (domestic cattle), 1180 nucleotides. The record is from Ensembl. NCBI's taxonomy places the organism in Eukaryota, Metazoa, Chordata, Mammalia, Artiodactyla, Bovidae.
CUUUCUCCAUGUCAGUAGUGAAACUCUCAGCCUGCACGUUCGUAUCCAGGGUGGCAGGGAAGGUGGAGAUGGGGAUGCACCAGCCCCCUUCACAGUCCUUCUUCACUGCAUUGGCUGGACAGGAGAGCAGUCGCAUCCCAGGGGACUGAUACAGGUAGGAAAUGGAAAAUUCAGAAUAAGAUUCUGAGGGAGCAUCUCAGGAAAGGCUUUGGGGCUCAGCAGCAGAAAAGCCACUUUUCCUCUCAGAGAAGCAAUUUUGGGAUCUUAACUCUGUUGUUGUUGUUGUUUUCCAUCUUUAAAAGGGAACUAUAUCAGUAUCCUUCUUAUAGGGUUACUGCGAUGGUAUAAAAUAUUGGGCAUAGUUCCUAAAACAUAGUAAGUGCUCCAAAUACUAUCACUAUUGGCCCUAGUUUCAGAAGAGGUACUCGUGGCCACAGUCUAAAGAAAUUAAAUCAGGCCAGAAGUCAAGGGAGAAGCAGAGGUGGCCUCCAUGCCCCAACUGGUCAAUCGUCUCCUUAUCUCCAUGAACUGUGGUGCUGGAGAAGACUCUUGAGAGUCCCUUGGACAGCAAGGAGGUCAAACAAGUUAAUCCUAAAGUAAAUCCACUCUGAAUGAAUAUUCAUUGGAAGGACUGAUGCUGAAGUUGAAGCUCCAAUACUUUGGCCAUCUGAUGCGAAGAGCUGACUCAUUGGAAAAAGACCCUAAUACUGGGAAAGAUUGAAGGCAGGAGAAGAAGGGGAUGACAGAGGAUGAGAUGGUUGGAUGGCAUCAUCGACUCAAUGGAUAUGAGUUUGAGCAAACUCUGCUGCUGCUGCUGCUGCUGCUGCUAAGUCGCUUCAGUCGUGUCCGACUCUGUGCUACCCCAUAGACGGCAGCCUACCAGGCUCCCCCGUCCCUGUGAUUCUCCAGGCAAGAGUACUGGAGUGGGGUGCCACUUCCUUCUCCAAUGCAUGAAAGUGAAAAGUCAAAGUGAAGUCGCUUAGUCAUGUCUGACCCUCAGCAACCCCGUGGGCUGCUGCCUUCCAGGCUCCUCUAUCCAUGGGCUUUUCCAGGCAAGAGUACUGGAGUGGGGUGCCAUUGCCUUCUCCAUGAGCAAACUCUGGGAGAUGGUAAAGGACAGGGAGCCUGGUGUACUGCAGUCCGUGGGGUCACAAAGAACUGGACAUGACUUAGUGACUGA